Molecule: non-coding RNA, 1101 nt
Organism: Microcebus murinus (gray mouse lemur)
Lineage: Eukaryota; Metazoa; Chordata; Mammalia; Primates; Cheirogaleidae
Source: RefSeq, a predicted model, not a curated record
AUGCACAUGAGAGAGUCCACCUGCGUAGAGCAAGACUCUGUCUGCCUCAAAAUAAAGCUUCCAAGUACGGGGGCCCAGCUCCAGGUGGCGGGGGAUAUGCUGUCCAACUCCACUGAGCGGGCCAUCACCAUCGCUGGCGUGCCGCAGUCUGUCACCGAGUGUGUCACGCAGAUCUGCCUGGUCAUGCUGGAGACGCUCUCCCAGUCUCCGCAAGGGAGAGUCAUGACCAUUCCGUACCAGCCCAUGCCGGCCAGCUCUCCAGUCAUCUGAGCGGGCGGCCAAGAUCGGUGCAGCGACGCUGCGGGCUACCCUCACGCCACCCAUGACCUGGAGGGACCACCUCUAGAUGCCUACUCGAUUCAAGGACAACACACCAUUUCUCCGCCCGAUCUGGCCAAGCUGAACCGGGUGGCAAGACAACAAUCUCACUUUGCCAUGAUGCACGGCGGGCCCGGAUUCGCCGGAAUUGACUCCAGCUCUCCAGAGGUGAAAGGCUAUUGGGCAAGUUCGGAUGCAUCUACUCAAACCACCCAUGAACUCACCAUUCCAAAUAACUUAAUCGGCUGCAUAAUCGGGCGCCAAGGCGCCAACAUUAAUGAGAUCCGCCAGAUGUCCGGGGCCCAGAUCAAAAUUGCCAACCCAGUGGAAGGCUCUCCUGGUAGGCAGGUCACUAUCACUGGCUCUGCUGCCAGUAUGAGUCUGGCCCAGUAUCUGAUCAAUGCCAGGCUCUCCUCUGAGAAGGGCAUGGGGUGCAGCUAGAACAGUGUAGGUUCCCCCAUAACCCCUUUCUGCUGUUUUCCCAUGAUCCAACUGUGUAAUUUCUGGUCAGUGAUUCCAGGUUUUAAAUAAUUUGUAAGUGUUCAGUUUCUACACAACUUUAUCAUCUGCUAAGAAUUUAAAAAUCACAUUCUCUGUUCAGCUGUUAAUGCUGGGAUCCAUAUUUAGUUUUAUAAGCUUUUCCCUGUUUUUAGUUUCUUUUGGGUUUUUUGGCUCAUGAAUUUUAUUUCUGUUUGUCGAUAAGAAAUGUAAGAGUGGAAUGUUAAAAAAUUUCAGUUUAGUUCUGUAAUGUCAAGAAUUUAAGAAUUAAAAAAUGGGUUGGUU